RNAcentral lists this ribosomal RNA (233 nucleotides) under uncultured bacterium. Its description in RNAcentral is "partial 16S ribosomal RNA". It matches the Rfam family "Bacterial small subunit ribosomal RNA", at positions 103 to 334 of the family's 1533-position model. The record is from RNAcentral.
CGGGUGAGUAACGCGUGAGGAACCUGCUUCAAAGAGGGGGACAACAGUUGGAAACGACUGCUAAUACCGCAUAAGCCCACGGCUCGGCAUCGAGCAGAGGGAAAAGGAGUGAUCCGCUUUGAGAUGGCCUCGCGUCCGAUUAGCUAGUUGGUGAGGUAACGGCCCACCAAGGCGACGAUCGGUAGCCGGACUGAGAGGUUGAACGGCCACAUUGGGACUGAGACACGGCCCAG